GUUAUUUCUCCGGCCCCAAGAUCAAGUGUAGUUUUUAUUCUUAUCAGUUUAAUAUUUGAUACGUCGUCUAUCUGAUGACAAUAUAUUAAAUGGAUUUUUGGCAUUAGGAAAUGGAAUAGGAGCUUGCUCCGUCCAUCCCACGCAUCGACCUGGUAUUGCAGUACCUCCAGGAAUGGUGUACCAAAA
This is a small nuclear RNA of Suncus etruscus (white-toothed pygmy shrew), 186 nucleotides long. RefSeq annotates it as U2 spliceosomal RNA. The record is from RefSeq and is a predicted model, not a curated record. The transcript has a single exon. NCBI's taxonomy places the organism in Eukaryota, Metazoa, Chordata, Mammalia, Eulipotyphla, Soricidae.